Molecule: non-coding RNA, 78 nt
Organism: Halocaridina rubra (Hawaiian volcano shrimp)
Lineage: Eukaryota; Metazoa; Arthropoda; Malacostraca; Decapoda; Atyidae
Source: the annotation of a GenBank genome assembly
CUCACUGGUUAGUACAGUGGUAAUGCGCUGGCCUCACAUUCGCGAGGUCGACGGAUCGAGCCUCGUCCAGGCAAGAGA